CACACACUCAGACUAUAGUGUCAAUUCCCGUACCACAGAAUGAUCAAAAAGGAGGGAGAGUAAAGGUUAGAGGGAGAACUCCAGGACACCUUCUGGAGCAGAGAGCAGGAUGAGUGAAUAGAGGUUUAGGGAGGUAACAGAUCUUGCCCAAAGGCAAAUGCUGUCAAGUGAGCUGAUGGAGCUGGCAUUUGGUCUGUGGACCCAUUCUGGUUUCCCGGGCUAUACUCAGAAGAGAGAAAUUUGGACACAAGGAUACAGACACAGAGGGAGGACGGCCAUGCGAAGACAGAGGCAGAGAUUGAAAUUAUGCUUCCGCAAGCCAAGGAACACCACGGACUCUGGGAACCACCAGAAGAAGCUGGAAGGGACAAGGAAGGAUUCUUCCCUAGAGCCUUCGGAGACAGCAUGGGCGUGCUGACACCCUGGUUUCAGAUUUCUAGCCUCCAGGACUGUGAGAGAAUAAAUUUCUGUUAUUUUAAGCCACCA
This 486-nucleotide long non-coding RNA is filed under the name Equus caballus (horse). RNAcentral's name for it is "lncRNA (ENSECAG00000047753.1)". The record is from RNAcentral. Lineage: Eukaryota; Metazoa; Chordata; Mammalia; Perissodactyla; Equidae.